RNAcentral lists this ribosomal RNA (253 nucleotides) under uncultured bacterium. Its description in RNAcentral is "partial 16S ribosomal RNA". It matches the Rfam family "Bacterial small subunit ribosomal RNA", at positions 524 to 776 of the family's 1533-position model. The record is from RNAcentral.
UACGUAGGGUGCAAGCGUUGUCCGGAAUUAUUGGGCGUAAAGAGCUCGUAGGCGGUUCGUCGCGUCGGCUGUGAAAUCCCGAGGCUCAACCUCGGGUCUGCAGUCGAUACGGGCGGACUGGAGUUCGGCAGGGGAGACUGGAAUUCCUGGUGUAGCGGUGAAAUGCGCAGAUAUCUGGAGGAACGCCGGUGGCGAAGGCGGCAUCCUGGACCGACACUGACGCUGAGGAGCGAAAGCCAGGGGAGCAAACGGG